RNAcentral lists this ribosomal RNA (301 nucleotides) under uncultured bacterium. RNAcentral's name for it is "partial 16S ribosomal RNA". It matches the Rfam family "Bacterial small subunit ribosomal RNA", at positions 509 to 807 of the family's 1533-position model. The record is from RNAcentral.
CAGUAGCCGCGGGAAUACAGAGGGUGCAAGCGUUAAUCGGAAUUACUGGGCGUAAAGCGCGCGUAGGUGGUUUGUUAAGUUGGAUGUGAAAUCCCCGGGCUCAACCUGGGAACUGCAUCCAAAACUGGCAGGCUAGAGUAGGGCAGAGGGUGGUGGAAUUUCCUGUGUAGCGGUGAAAUGCGUAGAUAUAGGAAGGAACACCAGUGGCGAAGGCGACCACCUGGGCUCAUACUGACACUGAGGUGCGAAAGCGUGGGGAGCAAACAGGAUUAGAUACCCCAGUAGUCCCUGUCUCUUAUAC